Cylas formicarius (sweet potato weevil) is the source of this 728-nucleotide RNA transcript. RefSeq lists it as uncharacterized. Lineage: Eukaryota; Metazoa; Arthropoda; Insecta; Coleoptera; Brentidae. The record is from RefSeq and is a predicted model, not a curated record. The transcript has 3 exons.
CGUGCCCUGCCUUUAUCAAAUUAAUUAAUUAAUUGCGGCUGACUUUAACAAUAGAAUCGCCGUGUUGCAGUGUAAAUCGAGCCGGUAACCGGUGGCGGCAAUUUAGCCGACGUAAACAAAAUAGCGUUUGUAUGCGGGUUGGCGAAAAUUCUUGCGAAAUUUUAUUAAUAAUAAGCGUUCGUGAAUCCAAAAAUAAUCGACGGCUUCGUCCGACGUUUGUGAAAAAAUUAGAAUUUCGUAGUUGGAUUUCGCUUGAAAAAUGCAGACCAAAGACGUUUACGUCAGGGUGACGUGCCUUCUGAUAGGCGUGACGUUGUCGAUAUACGAAUCCAAUAUGACAUUUCCGAACAAAUUUCAAGAGUUUUGCGCGUCUGCAAUAUGCGUAUUUUGUUACGUUAAAACACUUCGGCUGUUUACGGGACUGCUGACAAAAACCGAAGACUGGACCAAACAAAUAUUCGAUGUCAUUUGCAUGGUAGUGCAGUUUAUAUCGCUGGUCAUUUUAAAUAUCUGUUUCGGUGUAGUGAUCCUCUUUCUUAUAUUGAAUCAUUUCUUACAACAAUUUAACGUCUGCCCGCCGAAAUACGUGGCAAUGGCGGCUUUUUAAUUUCGAAUAUUUUUGCACGAUGCCACUGACAAGGCCGCUACUUGUUAAAGUACAAAAAGCACACAAGACUGAUUAAUAAUUUACUUCGUACAUAACUUGCAUUAAAUUAUUCUAGAUAUAU